GCAAAUCUCUUAAAGCCAGCUCAGUUCGGAUUGUAGGCUGCAACUCGCCUACAUGAAGUCGGAAUCGCUAGUAAUCGCGGAUCAGCACGCCGCGGUGAAUACGUUCCCGGGCCUUGUACACACCGCCCGUCACACCACGAGAGUUUGUAACACCCGAAGUCGGUGAGGUAACCUAUUAGGAGCCAGCCGCCUAAGGUGGGAUAGAUGAUUGGGGUGAAGUCGUAACAAGGUAGC
This 234-nucleotide ribosomal RNA is filed under the name uncultured bacterium. RNAcentral describes it as "partial 16S ribosomal RNA". It matches the Rfam family "Bacterial small subunit ribosomal RNA", at positions 1267 to 1500 of the family's 1533-position model. The record is from RNAcentral.